RNAcentral lists this unclassified non-coding RNA (229 nucleotides) under uncultured fungus. RNAcentral describes it as "partial contains 5.8S ribosomal RNA, internal transcribed spacer 2, and large subunit ribosomal RNA". The stretch from base 1 to 52 matches the Rfam family "5.8S ribosomal RNA", at positions 103 to 154 of the family's 154-position model. Lineage: Eukaryota; Fungi. The record is from RNAcentral.
AACGCACCUUGCACCCUUUGGUAUUCCGAAGGGUAUGCCUGUCUGAGUGUCAUUAGACCAUCUCCUCGACCCGUUUUCGGGACACGGGAGCUUUGGGGGUUUUUGCCUUUUUGCCGGCUCCCCUUAAAUGCCUUAGUGAAGCUUUUAAUCCAAGUCGUUUGGAAGCGUCACUCUAAUUGCACACUCUUGAUUUGACCUCAGAUCAGGUAGGACUACCCGCUGAACUUAA